RNAcentral lists this ribosomal RNA (253 nucleotides) under uncultured bacterium. RNAcentral describes it as "partial 16S ribosomal RNA". It matches the Rfam family "Bacterial small subunit ribosomal RNA", at positions 524 to 776 of the family's 1533-position model. The record is from RNAcentral.
UACGAAGGUCCCAAGCGUUAUCCGGAUUUAUUGGGUUUAAAGGGUGCGUAGGCGGAUUAUUAAGUCAGUGGUGAAAGCCCCGAGCUUAACUUGGGAAUGGCAUUGGAAACUGGCGGGCUGGAGUGCGGCAGAGGGGGGUGGAAUUCCACGUGUAGCAGUGAAAUGCGUAGAGAUGUGGAGGAACACCGAUGGCGAAGGCAGCCCCCUGGGCCGACACUGACGCUCAGGCACGAAAGCGUGGGGAGCAAACAGG